CUUGAUCAAGCUGGUGACUCAGUGAUAUCUGAAGACUAUCAGAUGGUGUUCCCUGUUAUGUGUGAAGGAUGUCCUAACGAAUGUUAGAACAUUUUGUGAAGUGGCAUUCUGUUCUGGUUAGAAGAGAGAUUGACACCGAGUGUGGAUGUGUUCAACCAAGAGGGUUGAACAGAGGGUGCGCUCUUGAAGACAUGAAGAUGAGUCUUAUGUUUUCCAUUCAUCAAGUGGGUUGAGUUCUUUUUGAAUCAGGAAGUAGGUGAAGGUCCAACCAUGUUGGAUAAGUGUGAUCUCCAGGUUUCAAUAGGAGAGUUGGGUGCUCAUGACAGGGGGAGUUGUGCCUUUGUGCUGCAAGCAAUCACCAAACUUGUGGUCUAUGUGUUCUCAGAUAACUAGUUAGUUAUUGGGAUGAUGUGGUGAGGUAUGUCAAGGCUGGAUGAGCAGAAGAAUGUCUGACCGGAUGUCAUGACAUUGCCCUGGACAAUGCUGUUAAUUUCUUCUGAAUCUUAAAGUCAUUAGGAAUUAUGAGGGUGGUGUGUCUUAUUCUGUUAAAUCAAAAUAAGCCUGAUGGCUACAGAUGUGUGGUACAGGGGGAGUAACCAUCUGCUGAAGUGUGGGUAUUUGGCUGUAGCAGUGCCAGAUGUCAAGUCUCUGCUGGAGGUAUGACAGGGGUCUUGGGAAAUGUUGAAUACUGGCUGAAUGCAGGAAUGUUAAGACAUCGCGUGCAACGUGUCUGACUGCAUAUAUGGAAUAGUCUCCAUUUACUGGAACGGCUGUUUUGGAAAAGAAACAGUCAAGAGCUAUAAAAGGUAUUCAAAGAUAGUCUGAGAUUUUGUUGGUGAUUCUCUGACUGUUUCUCAGCAAAAAUAAAUGAAUCUUGACCAAGCAUUUAUUUCUACCGUAAAUUCCUAAGCGCGGGCUGGACUAUUUAAAGGAAGGAACAACACUCUUCUUCUCACAAGAGAAACACUCCAUUCCCUCAGAAUCAUGGGGUAUGUUAAGGUUUGGGCAAGCUGCGCCUGGAUCUGGUUUUGUGAGGGGUCCCUUUUCAAAUGUUUAGCUAAAAAGGGGGAGAGAAAUACAGUCCUGGGGUUGAGAAUGUAUCAGAAGCAAGCAGACUACUGUGGUAGCAAACAGAAAGUGGGUGUUAGACACAAAAUCCACCAACUGACUUGUGUCUUGUGAUCUGAGUUAAGAGGACAGUUGUGCCUUGUAAUCUGAGUUACAUCAUCUGUGUAAUCAGCAUUACAUACUCUUCAGGAAGCUCUCCUGUUGAGGGGAAGGGUUCCGGUACAACUGUUCCCUGUUCCUCUACUUCCUCAUGUACACUAACAUUGGUGUUCAUGGUGGGGGAGAUAAUAACAGAGGCUUAUUUGUUUUAGCUAAAAUUUGCCAAAGGGGGAGAUUGUUAAUACCUCAGGAUUGACAUUAAUUUUAGAAAAUAAAUAAUGUAAUCAUCUCUGUUGUUUUAAUAUGUUGGGUUGAAGAAAUUCAACAUCUGGACCAACAUGUCAUGUACGAUGUCACGACAUCAGGUCUGUGACAUCGCACAUGUGUAGGAAACUGAAUUAAUUAAUUCAGUAUAUAUUCUGGGAUCAGCAAGGAUAUCUGGUGAAUAUCCUAACUCCCAUGUGGAGGUCUUGAAGACUCAAUCAGAAGAUAUAUAGGCUCAAAAUAUGGAGAUAUAUAUGGAGAGAUUCUAGGAUUGAAGACCUUGUUUGUAGCAGAAUUUUUCUGCUGAAGUUGUAACAGCAAAGAACAAGUCUGCUGCGAUUUCUGAAGGCCCAAAUCCAGUUGGGUGAUUAGGUUAUAAAUAGCUGAUUGUAACCUAGUAUUUGUAAGCCUCCUAGAAUGAAAAUUUAGGGGUGUGUGUGAGGUAAACCUCCCAAUCUGUGGGAAGGUUACCAUAUGUUUCUCAGUGGUAAAAGCUGAGAGUUUUGUAACUCAAAGCCUGUAGGCAAGAGUGAUUUUGUUCUUGAAUGAAGCUGUGAAGCAAGUUCAAGGUGUGUUAACAUUACAUUGUAUUUGUAGUGAUAGGAAUGGAAACUGGAGGUUUCUAUCUAGGAGUUCCUAGGUAUAGAUUGCAUUGGGUAGGGAUUAAGUGAAGAGUUGUAAACGGGUGAGUUUAACUCUGAAUUAAUACUGCUAAUAGUGGAUCUUCUUCCUGGCUUGGUAGCCCCCAGAUGUAGGUCAUGUUGGACUGAACUGGGUUAACAAUUUCCUGUGUUUGUUUUCCUUCUGCAUGUGUUUAUUACUGCCAUAACUCAGCAGGUAUUCCAGUCAGCUUAUCAAGAUGAUAACUGACCUGGCAUAUAGCCUUCUGUUUGAAUGUCAAUCAGAAAGCUGUAACAUUCAUCAGGGACAGUGCAUACUGAAUGAUAAGUAAGUUAACUUUAGUUCAGUAUGUUCUCUUCAAGGCUGAAGGAUCAUAGUGAAACUGUCAAACUGGAUGUUCUGACAGUUGAUACUGAAGGCUGAUACUGAAGUAGAGACUAGUUGGUCUUUUACAGUAUUGCAAACUUAGCACAGCACGUGUCCAGGAACAUAACAGACUCAGCAUAUGUUCUGGAUGUCGAACUGAAUGUUGUGACAUUCAUUCCCAACAGCAGGUGCUAAAGUGUAGGAUGAUUGGUUUUUCUGGGUCAGUAUUUUUCUCAGGCUAUUCUUCAGGGAUUCAAUAGCUUAGAGAAAAACCAGGAAACCAACUACCAACCUACAAUUAAUGAACCUAACAAAUAGUCUAGUUGUUAGCAAUCUAAUAAGUGGAAAUUAGAUUGACGUGUUCAACCUUUAAUUCAGGAAAUACAAGUAAAAGAUAUACACACUGGAACAAUGUAACAGAUGAUGUCCUCAAACAACAGUAAGACAUCAUGCUGAUAACUGUGGAAGAAAACAACAGAAGUGAGUGCUAGGUUUGAUUCCUGUUGAGUCCUUCUUCCUGAUGCAUAGAACCAGGUGUUCAUACAUUCUAGGGUGACAUAGAAUGAGAUGUCGUGACAUCUGUGAACUUGUGCAUAUUAGUACAGUGGUAAAUAACUAUCUUGCUGUAUUAGUUACAAUGUUAGAUCAGAUGUCAUGACGUGGAGUAGAACAUCUGAAUUCUGACUACACCAGAAUUUCAGUUGAACCAAAAACAUACCUUCAAGCCUCCAAACAUGAUUGUUGGAGACAAGCAAUGGAUUCUGAAAUUAAAGCUCUUCAGGAUACUCAAACAUGGACUAUUGUGGAUAUUCCUUUAGGCAAAACUCCAGUUGGUUGUAAAUGGGUAUACAAAGUAAAAUACCAUGCCAAUGGAUCUAUUGAACGCUACAAAGCUCGCUUGGUUGCUAAGGGUUAUACUCAAUUAGAAGGUGUAGAUUAUUUUGACACUUUUUCUCCUGUUGCUAAAAUAACUACGGUUCGAGUUCUCUUGUCUCUUGCAGCUAUAAAACAUUGGCAUCUGGAGCAAUUGGACGUUAACAACGCCUUUCUCCAUGGUGAUUUACAAGAGGAAGUUUAUAUGUCUCCUCCUCCUGGCUAUGAUAAUUUUGGAUCUAAUAAAGUUUGCAGGCUCAACAAAUCUUUGUAUGGACUAAAGCAGGCUAGUAGACAGUGGCAUGCCAAAUUAUCUUCAACCCUUCUUUCUUUGGGUUUCUCUCAGUCCGUGGCAGAUCAUUCGUUGUAUACCAAGCAAACAAAUCACAGGUUUACUGCUUUUUUGGUUUAUGUUGACGAUAUUGUGUUGACAGGUGAUUCUCCUUCAGAAAUUGAAUUUGUCAAGUCUUGUUUGCAUCAGAAAUUUCACAUCAAGAAUCUUGGCAAUCUGCGAUAUUUCCUUGGCCUGGAAAUAGCACGAUCAACAUCUGGUAUGUUCCUUAAUCAAAGGAAAUAUGUGCUUGAACUACUUGAAGAUACAUGCCUGCUUGCUGCCAAACCUGUCUCGACGCCCAUUGAUCCACACUUGAAGCUAUCCUCCACUGAUGGUGAACCAUUGGAAGAUCCCUCCACAUACCGCAAGCUCGUUGGACAAUUAUUAUAUUUGACAAAUACGCGGCCUGAUGUUUCUUUUACAGUGCAGCACCUCAGCCAAUAUGCGGCUAACCCGCUGAUCCCUCAUUACCAAGCCGCUCUUCGUGUUUUGCAGUACUUGAAAGGGUGUCCAGCUCAUGGAAUAUUUUUCUCCAGCACUAGCCUCUUAAAACUUCAUGGUUUUGCUGACUCCGAUUGGGCACGCUGUUCGGAUACUAGGAAAUCUGUGACAGGGUUUUGCGUUUUGUUAGGUAAUUCUCCCAUUUCAUGGCGCUCUAAGAAGCAGAAUACUGUUUCCCGUUCUUCAACUGAAGCGAAGUACCGUGCUCUUGCAUCUUUGACAUGUGAGGUUCAAUGGCUUUCUUACCUCUUUGCUGAUUUUUAAAUUACAUUUCCUACUCCUGCAUCCUUAUACUGUGAUAGCAAAUUUGCCAUCUAUUUGGCACAUAAUCCUACAUUUCACGAGCGCAGGAAGCACAUUGAGCUGGAUUGCCACGUUAUUCGCGAGAAACUGCAUUCCAAACUUAUUCAUCUUCUUCCAGUUCCUUCAGAGUCCCAGCUAGCAGACGUAUUUACCAAGCCACUUCAUGCACCACUUUUUAAUUCCUUCAUGUCCAAGUUGGGUUUAUGCAACAUACAUACUCCAACUUGUGGGGAGGUAUCAACAUAAAAAUAGUGGAGUUAGUUAUUUAGUUACUUUUUAGUUGGUGCCAACUGUGAUAAGUUAAUCUUUUUUUUCUGUUUUGCCCUUGUAAUCUUUUAGUAUAUAUGGCUGUACAACAUUGGUUCAGAUAAGAAAUAAUGAGAAAAUUCUACAAUUACUUUUAAUCCUUUUCUUCAAUGAACCGUUUCUCUCUCAUCUACAUAUGUUACAUGAGAUUCAUAAGUCAUGCCUUAAUGUUUGGAUAUCAUAUUUUAUUUUUUUAUUUUUUUCAUAAUUAGUUUUUUUUUAGUUUUAUAUAUAUUUCUCAUCUAAAAUAAUUUUAUUCGACGUGUAUCAAACCCUAAAUAUAGAUAUUUCUCUAAAACUUUCUCACCAUGCAUUGAUUUUGUGAUUGUUAACUAUAUUUUUUUUAUGGACACAACAUUUAAAAAAAUAUGAGUUUAAUUUCCAUGCACUUCGAAUAUAAAGAGUUUUACACUAUCAAUCAAUCACUUCUAAUUAUAUCUGUCAAUUUAGAAGUAACCUAAAAGUAAAAUAUUUGUAUUAAAUUGACAAUUGUUAUUAACUAAAAGCGUAGAAUAUUUGAAUCCCGCCUCAAUCAUCAUUUGUCAGAACUAUUUGGAGUCAGCUCCUUAGCUUGGGCAGGGCAUUUAAAUUCAAAUAAUAUUAUAUUUAUUAAAAUUUAGUAUAUUUCUCAUUAUAUUUUAAGGCACCUAUUUUGUUGAAAGAUUUGCAUCUUAUGAAAGAGUUAGUGAGUUUGAUCGAGGGCAAGUGUUGAUCACGAAAUUUAGUAUAUUUUAUGAGUUUUAUUUAAAUAAAACAGUGUCGAUGAAAAAGAUGUUUAAGAUGAGAUUGAAGGUCAAUGGUGAUAGUUGAUGUUGUAGACAUCAUCUAUUUGUUUGAGAGGGUGUCUUUUGAUUAGAUUGUUGUUCUUUGGUGAAUAACAUUUUUCUAUGGAUAAAUAUUUUGAAUAAACAUGUUCGGCAGUGAAACGUACUAUAUCAUAUAUGAUUAUCACUUGCUAAAUCGAGAAUUUGUAGAAAAAUUUAUAGUUCCCACUAAAUAUGUUUUUGAACAAAUACGUCUCUCUCUCUCUCUCUCUCUCUCUCUCUCUCUCUCUCUCUCUCUCUCUAUAUAAAUAUAUAUAUAUAUAUAUAAUAUAUCUUUAUAAUAUAAAUUAUAUAUAUAUAUAUAAUAUCUAUUAUAUAUACUUCUAUCGUUGGCGGCUAUAUUAAAAUUGAUUAUUGUAAUGUCAUGGUUUUUCAUUGAAAGCAUUUCGCCCAUACACGCCUCAUAUUUGGUGGAUUAUGUAAUGUUACUUUGAACUUAUGCUUGGGGGACUAUGUAAUGUCAUGGUCUUCCGAUGAAUCACUUAGGGGACUAUGUAAUGUCAUGGUCUUCCACUAAAAUCACUUCGGCUUUAUACACUUGGUACUUUAGAAACUAUAUAGUAGUAAAUCUAUUUUGACAUCAUGACAUUGAGAUAGACACCACAUAUAAAAGCCCGCAAAUAUCCCGGAGAGUACCCAUAAUAAGUGGGUGGAAUAUAGGAUACCUAAAAUGAGGUCAGAUAAGUUCUCCGAAAAGAGACAAAGGUGAGGCCCAUUAGAUUUAAGACCAACAUGUUUUACAUGAGGAGAUCAAUUUGGUCAGCUGACCUAGCAUUGAAGUGAAUGGGAUAACCCAGUAAAAGGGCUUUAUUACAUAAAAUAAUACAUUUAAGGCAGAUUAAUGAGCACUAUGAGUCAGACUCAGACAAAGAAACAAGAGCAUUCAUGGUCAUUAAGUGGGUAUUAAGCACACAUGUUACUCAAAUUCAUAUACAUACCAAUGGUAGUGAAGGCAGAAGACAAACAAUCCAUACACGAUAAAAUUGAGAUUUUACUAGCCAUAUCUAGUAUAGUUACUUUGGUGUACUUUUCAAGUACAAUUACCAAUAAAAUUAAGUUUUAAGCAACAUAAACUAUAUCUUUUAACUAAAUAAAUUGUAAUAGUUUAAAAUUUAAUUAACAAGCUGGAAUAGCUCAGUUGGUUAGAGCGUGUGGCUGUUAACCACAAGGUCGGAGGUUCAACCCCUCCUUCUAGCGUUUUAAUUUUGUUUUUUUGUUUUUUGACAUGUCAGAUAUAACCGAAUUAUAAUUUUGGAAGCACAUCAAAAUUAUUAUGUUCUUUUCACAAAACCCAUACACAAAGUUGGAGGUUAAACCCCCCAUUCUAGCGUUUUUAAUAUAUAUUUUUAAAAAAAUUGACACGUCAAGUAUUACCCCACAGAGUCUUUUUUUGCAUGUCUAAUAUUAGAAAUAGCAUAAUGAAAAUAUACAAAAGAUUUCAAAUGAUGACAAGUCCAAACUUAAAAUAUACUUGAAUGAAAAAUGUACAGAUGAUGAUGUAGAUAUUCUUCAAUAUUAAAAAAUAAAAAUAGUUAUCAUUUUUUUUCAACUUUCUACAAUAACUUUACACAUUUUAAGUAUUCCAAACAUAAUAGUUGCUUUUGAAUUUUAUAGCUUGUAUUUUGCAUAAGUAUAAGAAUUGUUUAUCAUCUGAAAUUGUGCAAGCUUUAAUUUGUACACAUAAUUGGUUGCAUCAUUUUAAAAUAGUUGGACCUUCAAGUGAGAAAUAAAAUCCCACAAACCCUAAGUUUGUUCUUGACUCCAGAACCUCCAAAAAUCUUGAUCAAGUAACUAACCAUGUCGCUUCAAUUCACCAGUUGUUGCUACUUCUUUGCAAGACAUCCCUUGUCCUAAGACUUUCAUCCGACUGAAUUAAUCCCAAUCGCAUGAUCAUGUAACCAACAAUGUCGCUUCAAUUCACCUGUUCUUGCUACUUUCUUGCACGACCUCCUUGUCUCAAGGCUUUCACCCGACUGAAUUAAUCCCAAGCGCACACUUGUUGAACCAAAGAUUUGUCAACACGGUCCACCGUUUCACGCUACUCCCUUGCACGACACACCUAGUCUCAAGGCUUUCACUCGAUCGGAUCCGAAUUGCACAAUUUUGUCCAAAACCUUCAAACCCUAAAGAUCUUGAAGGAAAAUCCACCUCGAUUUUCUCGGUACAACAAACCUAAUUGGACGUUAUUAAUCCUAAUCAAGAUGGUAAUCAAUCAAAAAAUGAUUAUGUGUAGUUUGAUUGUAUGUAUGCAUAAAUUGAAUUGAAGAUGAUGAGAUACUUUGAAAUCCUAGAUUCAUGUAGGUUUUACUCACUCUAGAAACCUUACUAGAAAAUGAUGCAUGUAUGAAGUAUUUACAUGCAUAGGUGAUUUAGGUAAAAAAGGAAUGCCAAUAACUUGGAGAAAAUAUGAAUUUUUCAAAAAAUUUAUCGUAUAGGUCGACCUGUAAGAUAUAUGCGUCGACCUGUCAAGGUCAUGCGUCAACCUAUUCAAGGUCAUGCGUCGACCUGUAACAGCUAUGUGAAUCCUAUGUGUCGAUCUGAGGAGUCAAUCAUAUAAUGUAGUUUUUACAUAGAACAGGGAUUACAGGUCCCCUCACAUCUUUGACAUAGAACAGGUUAAUACCGCGACAUACAUGUCGACCUAUAACAAUGAAAAUGUUUAUAUAGGUCGACAUGUAGACAACAUGUGUCGACCUGUAGACAACAUGUGUUAACCUAUAAUGUAGUUUUUUACAAUAAUUUAUUUUUCAUGCAUUUUUGAUGCACAAAACCUUUCUCGAGAUGUUUCAAAAUUCUUUUAUGCUUCCUAAUUCUAAGAUGCACAUAGACAAUCAGAGGAUACCGUCCAAUAUACAUUAACGCUAAAGUAUUAUAAUUUUGACAUCAUACAAAAUACAUUUAAAAGAAGUUGUACUCACACAAGUCACUCAAAGCAUAAGGUUUUUCUUUCCCACAUUGAAUAUUUGAGUGUCAAAUAAGCUCUCUUUAAUCCACAUUGGCUCGAAGUCAUAAGACUUGAGUACGAAGCUUUGCUAAAGAACUAAACUUAGACAUUGACCACUCUUCCUCCAAAUCAAAAACUUAUAAGAUACAUGUGGAUUUUCAAGGUUAAAUAAGUACAAUGCUCAACUGGUUGCUAAGGGGUUUCAUCAACGAUUUGAGUUUGAUUUUAAUGAAACUUUUUCUCCCAUUAUUAAAUCUGUAAUAAUUCGAGUUAUUCCCACUUUAACUUUUACUCACAAAGGAGAGCUUCAACAAAUUAGUUUGAACAAAUAGUUAUGAUAUCCUAAUAUAUAUGAUGUUCGUGUGAGCGAAAUCCUUGUUUCACGACUCUUCACCACUGCCAUCCUAAUAAAUUAAAUUAUUAAUGAUCAAUCAUAUACACCAGUUUUGUAAGGGAAUAUAAUUUGUAGCUAUAUAAUACAUAUUUACUUCUGUUUUCUAAAAAGUUAUUAGUCAUUGUUUAUUCAAUGAAGUAUUAAAUAAUUUUUAAAUUUUAUAAAAAUUUGUCGCGUUGAUUUAUUCAAUAAAAAGAAAUUAUGUCACAGUUAAAUUACUUUUUUUUUGUUAUUAUAAUAAAUGUAAUAAAUUAGUAUUAAACAAGAUAAUUUAUCACAAAAUUACAUUUCAAAUAAUUGUAUCAUCAUUCUUUAAUGAAUAAAAUUAAUACAAAUUAAUUUACUAUCAAGUAUGAAUUUACUUUUAUUUAGACAAGUUCCAAGUAUGAUUUUACUUGACCGAGUGUUUAGUCUACUAAUUAACAUUUCUUUCAUUAAUUAUAAAAUAAUCAUUUUUAAUUUUCUUGUCCUCCUAAUAGUUACAUUUGGGUGUUUACAUAUUUUUGGCCAGUAAGAAAAUGGAUAUAAGCUGGUUGUGUAGGUCCCACUCUGAUGAUAUUGCUAUGGCUAUGCCCAUGGUAGUACAAGUUUAGAGGGAUAAACAAAACUGUCAACAACACAACAAAGGAAAUUUCUCUCAUCACUCCAAUUCCACAUGGACACCAUCCCUACUUCCAUCAACAGGUUUUCCAUUCUCUCUCCCUCUCCUUGAUUCUCAAUUGAAAUUCUGAAUUGUGAAAUUUGUUAUUUUUGCAGUGGUUUGGGAUGGAGUUCUUCCUCGUUGUUUCAGCAAUCAAAUUGCUUCAACCUACUCUCUCUUCCUCCUAAACGAAAACCUUCUCUCACUAAGUUUUCUCUCACUUGCUCUGCCGCCUCUUCUUCCUCUGGUAUUCUCUACUUUUUUCAAUCAGUUUCCGCUUCUAGGUUUCUCUCAUUUUUGCUCUUUUCUGUUAAUUAAUUGUUCUCAAUUUGAGUUUCGUUUCUUUUCUUUUCAAUUUGAAAUGUAUAGUGUAUAGUGUGUUUUAUACCGUAUCAUUUUUUAUAUAUUUUCAGAUCCUCUUUUGGUUAAAGCUGCCAGAGGAGACCCGGUUAGUCGUCCUCCUGCAUGGAUGAUGCGUCAGGCAGGAAGGUACAUGGCUGCUUACAAAAAGUUAGCGGAGAAGCAUCCGUCCUUCCGAGAGAGGUCAGAGACGACUGAUCUCAUUGUAGAAAUUUCUUUGCAGCCUUGGAAAGCUUUCAGGCCUGAUGGAGUAAUUAUUUUCUCUGACAUCCUUACACCUCUACCUGCAUUCGGGAUUGACUUUGACAUAGAAGAUGUGAGGGGACCUGUAAUACAGUCGCCUAUCCGCUCCGAGGAGGCAUUAAAGGUUUUGCACGCAAUUGACUUCGACAAGCUUAGAUUUGUAGGAGAAUCACUUAAAACCCUGCGGAAAGAGGUAGAAAUUGAUUGCAACAAACAUGUCUUCCCUUUAUUCCUAACUUGGCUAUUUUGCCAAGGUUGUUUUUCUUACUUGUUUUCUUUUAUUUAGGUUGGUGGUGAUGCUGCUGUUUUAGGUUUUGUGGGAGCGCCUUGGACAUUGGCAACAUAUAUAGUUGAAGGCGGUACAACACGCACGUAUACUAACAUUAAAAGCAUGUGCCAUACGGCACCACACAUAUUGAGGACUCUACUUUCUCAUUUGACAAAGGCAAUAGCAGAUUACAUCGUUUUCCAAGUCGAAUCUGGGGCUCACUGCAUACAAAUCUUUGAUUCAUGGGGUGGACAGCUACCUCCUCAUAUGUGGGAACUUUGGUCAAAGCCUUAUAUCAAAGAGGUAUGCAACUAAAGGAAAAUGACCACUUCUUUCUAGCAUCAUAAAAUUGUUGUAGGUUUUCAAGCUUUUUGCUGUUAAGCCUAAUUUAAACCAAUUUCGUUAUUGUCGAAAGGAAAAUAGUAUGUAGUUUGCCAAGUUUUGCAACAGUUCGGUUUUAUGUUAAGUUAGUUAGUAUAUAUUUACCAAGUCUCCAUGAUUCUUCUUGGUUGGUUGGCCUUGUAAAUAUUAUGAUUGGUUAAAAGGUUUUAAUUUAUAAACUUCUUCUUGGUUGGUCCGCUAAUGGAAAAAAAACUUGUUAUUUGCAAGCUUGACUGUUACAUAAGCUCGUUGGAUACAAAUCAUGCUUCCGACUUCAGGGGAGAAAACUUGAAAUUAGAACUCCGUUGCUACAUCUUCAUAUUUAAAUAUUUCAUUACGAUGAUUAUUACUAUUAGUUUCUUACGAAAUAGAAAGUUCACACUAAAUAGAAAAGUCUAGGUUGACUGCUGUUAAGUCAUUCUCUUUUUAUUUAUUUAUUUCUGUUAGUUAUACACUUCUUUCUUUCUGAACUUCUAGAUUGUAAAUUUGGUGAAGAAAAAGUGCCCAGAGACACCACUUGUUCUUUAUAUAAAUGGAAAUGGUGGCCUUCUCGAGCGUAUGAUAGAUACUGGAGUCGAUGUUAUUGGACUAGACUGGACAGUGGAUAUGGCUGAUGGAAGAAGAAGAUUAGGUAGCGGGAUUGGCGUGCAAGGAAAUGUGGACCCUGCUUUCUUAUUCUCUCCUCUUACUGCCCUGACAGAAGAAAUUCAGAGGUUGGUGACGUAACCACCAUUUACUUUUUAGUAUUCUUAUAAUCAUUCUAUGGCCGUCAGCAUAUAGAUUCUAGGGGAGGCUACGUCAUCGGAGCACUGUUACAUGGCAUAGCAGUUUGUUCAAAUUCCACUAUGCUACAUUGUUACAAUGCUGUUAUAGCCACGGAACAAUUAACAUUUUGUUCAAAUACCACUACACUAUAACACUAUAGCGCUACUAUAGCUGCUAUUUGACAACACUGCACCGGAGUGAUUCCUAAGUGACCCUCCUAGGUGAUCCAGCAGAAUGAAAAACCAAUGUGUUAAAUGCAUUACCAGGAUCCUCCAAGUAAAUGUACAGGCUGCAUCUUCUCUGUUUAUGAUCCAGUGUCUAAGAUGUAUAGGUUAAACUGCCCAUAGUAUUUGCUUAAUUGACCGAAGAACUGAAAAUAAUACUGACAAGGACGGCAUUAAACAAAGAAUGAUAGAAAUGUUCUUCAAGGAAUUGUUGCUAUAUUAUUUAUCUUUUAGUUUCAAUUAUGAAUCGAAUCAAUAAGACUUGUGUGCCUUUGGUAGAAGGCCAAAGUUUUGUCCGGUGACAGAACCUGAUUUCUCUAAUUUUUUUUUAUGGUACUAGCUUUUUGUCCAAUUAAACCCUCAUAUUUAUAAGAGUAGAGAAACAAAUUUUAUUGAUGAAUUAUCUUGAUUUCUUAAUAUGAUGAUUACACGUAACUGUCAGGGUUGUGAAGUGCGCGGGACCUAGACGACACAUUCUUAAUCUCGGGCACGGUGUUCUCGUUGGUACACCUGAAGAAGCUGUUGCACAUUUCUUUGACGUAGCCAGAAGUUUGAAGUUUGACACAGUCUCUCAAAAUAACACUGCAAAUGUAGUUUAAACGAAAAUGCCAUUAGUGUAGCCACUUGUUGUACUUUUCCCGGUAGAUCAAGCCAUUUCUGGAAGAGUGCAGGUUCAGUCUUUCCUAAUACAACUAUGCGAUGAUGAUCAAUUGAUCGUUGUCUGAGAAUUUACACAUUGCUGUGUCGGCUAAUUUAUGAAAAUAGUCUGCAUUUUUCUGUAUUUUGUAAUUGUUUAUGAUAAAUCAAUAAUACUAAUUAGAGGAUUCCUUCCAUUGUUUGAACACUAGUUAUGCUUUCAUUACAGAGAAAACACAAUAAACUUUUGAUUUCAUUACAGAUAAAACAACGCUAACAAACUUAAGGUAACUUAUGAGCCAACUGUAUUAAGUUAUUUCUUGGCUGCCAUAGAAAUUUUGAAUGCAUUUUUUAUUCUGAAACAAAAACUAUACAAUACAUUCCUUAUAUUUAUUUAACUUCUGUUUCUUUUGAAGGGUGUCUCCAUGCACACAGUAAAAUGUUUCACAAGAAUUUUCAGGCCUGUCAAUUAAACUUGUCACUGGAAGAACGGUUGCCAUAUUGGUGUAGAGCCUCAUUCAGAGUUUUGAGAGCCUUGUCAUAAGACACAAACCCCAUAAAAAAGAACUCAUAACCAUCAACUGUCACAAUCUCGAUGUAUUUUUCUUUCGAGUUAAAUAUAUUAGCUGAAGGACUAACUGCCCUCAGCUGAUCGAGCUGCACUACCACCUACAAGUUACGUCACAUACAGAAUCAACACUUGAUCGAUACCGUAAAAUCACUGAUACAUGUUAUCGAUGUUAAAGAUGCAAUGAGAUAAGGAAGUACCUUAUAGUAGAUACAUUGAUGCUGCAAGGAGAAUGGAUAGUGACAGAGUGGAUAGUCACUGCAGAAUGCCAAUCUUUUAGUUGUUAUGUAAAGUGUUCCAAUCACAGGUCCAGAGAUUUUUGAUAUGUAACAAACAUGUUGCUUUAACAGUUUCUCUCCUGGAAUAACCCCAAAUGUUUGCUGAAAUAGCUUAUCAGAUCCCCCAUUUGCAAUCAGUUUUGUUCCCUGAACUAGUCUAGCCAUUGCAGCAUCAGCUGGACUAGAACUCAUUCUGACUGUACUCAUUGAAAAUGGAUUCCAUUAGAAUAAAGUUAGAAUCACAAAUUUCAUCACAAAUUCAAAAGGAUACUAUCAUAAUUAAAUAGUUAUAUAUAUCAAAUGUGCAAUGCUUUUUUUUUUGUUGCCCCUAUAUUAGGCAACUUGUUACUAGCUUCCAAGGAGAUAUUAAUAUGAACAGAAAACUAUCAUCCAAAAAGUCACUAUAAAUCCAAUCAUGGAACCAAUCAUGGGACCAAUCAAUAAUGUGUUGUCUAUUACCAAUUUAUUUUCCUUUCUCCUUCUUCACUUUAAUAUACAUUUAUUGAAUCUAGAUCUCCAUUCUUACACAAACACUUGCCUUCACUCUUCUCCAACUAUCACUACAAUCCAUCAUCAUGACCUCAACCACCGCACCACUCCUUCCAUGGAAGGUUCGCUUCACCAUGUCUACCAUCUCUUCUCUCAUCUCAGUCUCUCACCGUUCCAACGACACCGUCAACCGCCGUCUCUUCAACUUUUUUGAUCGAAAAACCUCUCCUAACCCUAACUCCAUCGAUGGAGUCACUUCCUCUGACGUCAUCGUAGACCCCACACGCGAUCUAUGGUUUCGCCUUUUCAUCCCCUCCUCCAACCCCAUCUCCGACGGGUCUCUCCCCGUCUUUGUGUUUUUUCACGGCGGCGGUUUUGCAUUAUUUUCUCCGGCUUCCAUCACAUACAACGCUGUUUGUCGUUUAUUCUGCCGUUCGUUCUCCGCCAUCAUUGUAUCUGUUAAUUACCGUCUUGCCCCUGAGCAUCGUUAUCCUUCUCAAUACGACGACGGUUUGGCAAUCCUUAAAUUCCUCGAUCAAAAUAACAACGUCUUAGGAAAAUCAGCUGACAUCAGCAAAUGUUUUUUGUCGGGUGAUAGUGCGGGUGGUAAUUUAGCUCAUCAUGUAGCGGUCCGGGUUUCCUUAGAAAAGUUUCAGGUUUUGAAAAUUAUCGGUUUGGUUUCAAUCCAACCUUUUUUUGGAGGUGAGGAAAGAACCGAAUCUGAAAUCCGAUUCAACCGGGUACCUAUUGUUUCAAUCGAUAAAACUGAUUGGUAUUGGAGGAUGUUUUUGCCAGAUGGGUCAACCCGUGAUCAUGAAGCGGUUAAUGUUUCUGGACCUAAUGCAAUGGAUAUUUCGAAUGUGGAUUAUCCGAGUACCCUUUUGUGUGUUGGUGGACUCGAUCCAUUAUUGGAUUGGCAAAAGAGAUAUUAUGAAUGGUUGAUAAAAUCCGGAAAAGAAGUGGAAUUAAUUGAAUAUCCAAAUAUGAUUCAUGUGUUCUUUUAUUUUCCAGAAUUACCAGAGACAUCACAGUUUAUUUCUAGAGUUAAGGAUUUCAUGAAUAAGCAAAUGGCUCAUGUGAAUUAAGGGCUUAAAUAAUUUGGUUUGUAUGCUUGCCUAAAAAAACAAAUAAAGUGUAUCCUGUUUUGUUUAUAUAUAUAGGACGAAUGCUAGAGAAAAUAAGAUUACAUGUAAUAUAUGUUUAUAAUUAAUGUAUUUGGUGGUGUGUUGAUAAUAUUCAGAUAUAUUGAUUAUUCAAUAAAUUUAAAAAAUAAAUUUUUUCUUAUAAAUAGAUUAAAG
Molecule: long non-coding RNA, 15047 nt
Filed under: Lathyrus oleraceus (garden pea)
Lineage: Eukaryota; Viridiplantae; Streptophyta; Magnoliopsida; Fabales; Fabaceae
Description: Pisum sativum (pea) long non-coding RNA (PSAT_LNC034111)
Rfam family: tRNA (bases 6683-6756)
Source: RNAcentral